This 609-nucleotide ribosomal RNA is filed under the name Arthrobotrys conoides. Its description in RNAcentral is "eukaryotic LSU rRNA". The stretch from base 233 to 386 matches the Rfam family "5.8S ribosomal RNA". The record is from RNAcentral. Lineage: Eukaryota; Fungi; Ascomycota; Orbiliomycetes; Orbiliales; Orbiliaceae.
UGCUGGCUGCCGCGGUGGUUGUUAAGUCAACCGCACGGUUUUCCGGUCAGGUGAACCAGUACCACCUGUGCUUCGCAUGGGUACCUGGGUCAACCCUUUGUGAACCAAAACAAACCUUUCGCUUCGGCAGCGGGGCCCUAAACCAGCCCGUCAGCCUGCCGCUAGCACCAAACACAAAAUAAACUUGUUGUAAAAACAUUGUCUGACAACCAAAUUUUCGAAUGAAAAUCAAAACUUUCAACAACGGAUCUCUUGGUUCCCGCAUCGAUGAAGAACGCAGCGAAACGCGAUAGUUAAUGUGAAUUGCAGAAUUCAGUGAAUCAUCGAGUCUUUGAACGCACAUUGCGCCCAUUGGUAUUCCUUUGGGCAUGUCUGUUUGAGCGUCAUUACAACCCUCAGCUAACCGCUGGUUUUGGACCCGAACGGCUUGACCGCCGCGCAGGUUUUAAAGUUGUAAGCUCUGCUGGCCGCUCUGCCCCCAACCGGAACAUAGUAAGCACUACUUUUGUUAAGGUGAAGCGGAACGGUACGGCCUGUAACAAAACCUACCCUUUUUUCUCAAGGUUUGACCUCAGAUCAGACAAGGAUACCCGCUGAACUUAAGCAUAU